Molecule: long non-coding RNA, 37040 nt
Filed under: Capsicum annuum
Lineage: Eukaryota; Viridiplantae; Streptophyta; Magnoliopsida; Solanales; Solanaceae
Description: long non-coding RNA (CANN_LNC014065)
Source: RNAcentral
GUUUCUCAACUAUUCCCUCAACUGGAAUUUUUACUUCAACAUUGUAUUUCACUUAAGGAUACUGAAAAUUUUACAUAGGCAUUGAUAACCCUACCUACUGAGGUCUGAGAUGGACUAAAUUCUCCCACUAUGUUCAAGCCUACUCAAAUCUCUAAAAUGCAUUUUUCCACUUACACAUCAUAAUGACAUUCAAGCCUAUCAUCAUAACUAUAGCCUCGUGUGAAACAAGCAUGCAACAAUCUUUCCUUAACAUGAAAUAUUUACUCUCUCCCAUCCAAGAAACAACAUCACUACAUCAUUUCAUAAGGAGAGCUCACUGAAGGUUAAAACAUGAGGACCUAAAGCAUGAAUGGACACUAUACAGAACUUGACACUGAACAAAGGCCAGAGGAAUAGAAUAUCAACAUCAUAGAUUUAUCAAAAGAUCUAAACUAAGGGUAUACAUGACAUAAUCUAUAUUUAGCUGAUUAUUAGGAGUGUAGCAUGAGUCAUAGGAACUGAGCAUACUAUAAAGCAUGAGUACACGAGACAUGAGUCAUGAGCUGCAUGACCUGAGUUUGGAUUUUCUGUAUUCAUGGAACAUAAUUCAUAACACUGAGAUAAUUGGAACUCCUUAUACUAAGAACUAUAAGCGUACAUGAUUUUUGAUAAUGUACAUGAAUAUGAGUUAUGAUCAUAAAGAUAACAUGUAGGGCAUGAGUAGAUAUCGUGAUAGCUGAAGUACAAAACUUUGCAUUGAGGUAAAGAUGGGUUGGGCAUUAUCCUCUCCCGCCGAUUUUCUACACAGAUUGACAUUACUACUAAAAUCUGAAAGCCUGACUUAGUUACUUGUUUUACCAUCUCCCCCUUAGCUUAAACCCGUUAUUCCAAGUUUGUGAACCACUUAAUCAAUAACUCUAAACCGAACUACCACCACUUUACCCUAGAUUCAAGGGUAGACACUGAGGAGGGCUCUGCUAAUAUUUCAGGUUUGACACCGAAGUUGAUGGCUAUAUAGGGGUUACAAAAGAAGUAAAGGCUCAUAAUCUACAAAGCAUAAACAUAAAGAUGAAAGACUCAUAACAAACCUGUAACUAUAUUAGAAAAAAUUUCCUGAUCUUGUUUAAACUGAAUUGCAUAAAGCUUGUUUGUGUGUUACCCACUGGUGGCAUUAGAGGUGGCACCCUGCUGAUUCGGGCUACCUGACUGAGCUAAGGGAUGAUUGUACAACCCUGUGAACCUGACUGAGGACAAUCUCUGAUAAUAUGGCCUAGCUUGCCAUACCCAAAACAAAUAUUAAUGCCAGCCCUACACAUACCCUUAUAAUUCUUACCACAUUCUCCGUAAAGUGGAUUAGUGUGGACACUCUUCCCACUACCUCUUGACUUAGAGCCUGGUGCCCCAUCUUGACUGUCAUUCCUAAGCAUAGACAAUGGCACCCUGACUGAAGGCAAAACAGGGGCUCAGAAUCUCUGACAGAGUUGGGAGUGGUUACAAUCCCGUGAUCUUAUCUUAACACUAAUUGUUCUGGCCUUCUUAUUACUUCUUUCCUUUUUUCUACACUCCCUUCCCUCACUCUGUUAAGCAUGAAUCAAAAGGCUAGAUAUAAUGAUAGCCUGUAAAUUAUUCUGAGAAACUACUGAAUACACUAGGGUAAUGAAAACAUCUCUAAAUUCGGUUUGAGUGACAUACUCAUUCGAGGGAUUUUUUCAAACCGGCGGAGGUACUGGCUAGUUUCCGAUUCUUCUUCUGUUAGCCUUUUUGGGAGGCAUGUUCAUAAAUGGAAGGGAAACUUAGAUUAGACAGAGAGUUUAUCUUGAUCUUAUGCUCACUUGCACGACAUAAAUACUAAAAGAAGGGAAACUUUCCUAAGAACAUCUUGUAGCCUCUUUCCCACAAGUGUGACGCGCGACACACACAUGCAUAAGACUCUACUAGAUGUGGCUUUCAGACUCCCUAGGAAUAUAUUAAACCUUAGGCUCUAAUACCAAUUUUGUAAUGCCCUGAGUCUGUACCCUGGAGCCACACGGUGCUUACGAUCCCGAGAGACCACAAGCUAACCCAUGAGCUAGUACCUGCUGUGAGCAUUGAAUAAUAAUACUAAAAUAAUAUAGAAAAUAGGCUGAAAUACCAUAAGGUUCACAAUCCAAAUUACUGGUAAAUAAUAAUAUCUGAUAAAACAUCUGAGAUCUAAAUACUGUCUGAACUAGUUUAGUCUGAAAAACCUCUAACUGAACUAUCUGAAAGUAGAGUUGAUGGGACAAGCCCCCAACUAAAUUUGACUACUGUAAAUGUUGAGUCUACUGUAAAACUAAAAUAAAAUCAUAUCCUCGAUAGAUAAGGACUCACUACUAUAAUCUGAUACUGCUGACUAAAUCUGACUAAGCGCAAUUAGGAACCUCAGCAUCCAAACCUAUGAUAUGAGAUAUCAUAGAGCAAAGAAAGAGUAUGCAUCAGUACGUGAAAUGUAAUGGUAUACUAGAUAAGGUAAGGCUGAAUGCAGGGUUUUAUAUGCAUGAACAAUAACUGACUGAAUGAUAUAGAGUAACUAAAUAUAAAGUACAUGGAUAACUAAAAUGCUAUUAAUACUGUGUAUGCAAUAUGUGCAUAUAUGUGUAUGUAUACUAUAUCUGAGCUUUUACUUAAGUUGAGUACUGAUUUUUGAUAUUGAAUAACUGAUAUCUGAGAUUACUGAUAACUAGGCGACUGUGUCUGACAGUCCUGAUCCUAUAGAACUGAACUGAGUUCUAAAAUGAGACUGAUACUAAAACUGUGGGAGUUAAUCAUCUAACCGAUAUGCCCCUCUCUAAAUUGAUUAGGGUCCAACCUGUAACCCUAGUUGAAAGGGUGUCAGUACCGUGCUACGGGUACUAACAAUGGAUGUAAGUCAACCCUAACUGGGAAGAAGAUAUUUUGUCAACCCUCACUGAUAAAAAAACACAUGAGAGAUAUGUCAACCCUUAUCUGGCAGGAAAUCAUCUUAACCUACGCUGGCUAAGGGUCAAACCCUCUACUAGAAGGAAUGCCCCCAUCCCGGGGUUCGCUCGGUGCUGAAUUCUACUCCCAACUGAAUAGAAACUAAAUUGAUCACUAAACUGUACUAGGCUGGACUGAACUUUUACUGAUCUUGUUAACUGAAUGAACGGGUCUGAGUUCACUGAGUUCUGUAACUGACUGAGUAAGCGUGCUACUAUUCAUGACACUACUAAGACUAUUUUGAAGCUACUGUAAUUCUAGUUUAACAACUAGGCUUUCGGGUAUUAAAUACCCCCAGGACUCGAUAGCAUUGAAAGUAAAGCAUAGCAUGAUCUUAAAAAGCAUAAUAAUGUCCAUUUGUUCAUAAUUCAUUCAUAGAGACAUUUUAUCAAACACUUGUAGGGCAUAAUCUUGUAUAUAUGCUUGCAUGUCAUGAUUUCACCAUUUAAUUCACAUGGAAUUCUAUCAAACACUUGGGAAGCACAAAUUAAUGCAUACAAUCUUGGACAACAUAUGAGCAUUGUAACUACCACACCCAAACUUGUAAAUUCAAGAGUUAUAACAUGAGAAUUAUAUAAUUUAAUAUACUCCGUCCGUCUUAUUUUAUGUGUCAUUAUUUCCUUUUUAGUCUGUCUCAAAAAGAAUGUCAUCUUUUCUUAUUUAGCAAUUAUUUAAAGAUACAAUUCCACUUUUAUACUUAUUGGUCCCACUUAAUUAAAAAAAGACACUAGCACAUUUUUUUAUAAAGGACAAUUUGGUAAACAUUACCAAGUCUUUCCUUAUUUUUUAAACUCCAUUCCCAAUCAAAUGGUGAAACAUAAAAUGGGACGGAGAUAGUAUAUGCUAUUUCAAUUUCAUCAAACUUACAAUUUAUCAUGGAUUGGAACUCAAAUAAUAUCAUGAACAUGAAUACAAUCCAAUUUAAACAUGUAAAUCAUAAAUCUGAGAUCUUGUAUGUUUAAAAAGAGUUCUUGGGCUUCAUGGGUAAAAGGAUCCCAUGAUGAACACCUAACGUACCUGAGAAGAAGAGUUUUUGAAGGUUCUUGGAGGAAUUCUUAAGCUUUGUUCUUGUUUCUUAAAAACUAGGGUUUACUAACUAAGAGAGAAUGUUUUCAAUCUUGAGAGAAGUGAGUAAAUGAUGAUAUAGUAGGUUAUAUAGGGGCUUAAUUUUGUGUUUAGGAUGAUUAGGGGUUUUGGUAUUUGACCAAACAACCCUUGAAAUAAAAUGACAGAAACUAUUUUACACGGUGGGAUUGUGAUGGCUCACUGGAUUUUUACAAUUUCCAUUUGCACCAGUACUAGGUGGUACACUAUUUUACCAAAACUGCUCUAACUCUUCGCCUGGGUAUUGGAUUUGGGCAAAUUUUAUAUUGUUGGAAAGCUGACUGAAUUUCCUAUGCCAUGGCAGAUAUUAAACUGAAAAAUUCCAAGUAUUUUGAAAAAUUUAUAUUGGAAUACUCAUUUACUAAAAGUUAAAUUGAGUUAGGAAAAUACGGGGUAUUACACUUUGAUUGACUUGCUUGUGUUAGAUAUGAUCGAUUUUGAUGUUAUUUUGGGCAUGGAUUUUUUGGCUCCUUAUCAUGCUGUCUUAGAUUAUUUUGCUAAGACUAUGACUUUAGCUUCACCAGGUGUGCCAAGAAUAUCUUGGAAGGGUGCAUUUCAUUUAGUUCCUAAGAGGAUUACAUCUUUUGUUUAUGCUCAUAAGUUAGUUGAGAAGGGGUGUUUAUCUUACUUGGAUUAUAUUUAUGACACCAAUGUUAUAUCACCUCCUUUCUUAGAUUCUAUCUGUAUUGUCUGUAAGUUUAUGGAUGUGUUUCUAUGGAUUUUCCUGGUAUGUCUUCAGAUCGAGAUAUUAAUUUUCCUAUUAAUGUUAAGUCGGGAACCAAGCCUAUUUCUAUUCCUCCUUAUAGGAUGUCCCCAAUAGAGUUGAAGGAACUGAAGGAUUAGUUGUACGAAUUGUUGGACAAGGGAUUUAUCUGACCUGGUGUUUCACCUUGGGGUGCACCUGUCUUGUUUUUAAAGAAAAAAAUAGGUAUAUGCAGAUGUAUAUUGAUUAUCGAUAGUUGAAUAAGGUGACGAUAAGAAUAAGUAUCCUCUUCCUCGCAUUGAUGAUUUAUUUGAUCAACUUCAGGGUGCUACAGUGUUUUUAAAAAUUAAUUUGAAGUCCAGUUAUCACUAGUUGAGGAUUAGAGCUUUGGAUAUUUUAAAGAUAGCUUUUCAGACACAAUAUGGUCAUUAUGAGUUCUUGGUCAUGUUCUUUGGGUUGACCAAUGCCCUUUGUCUCAUUCAUAAAGUUGAUGAACUGGGUGUUUCAACCGUAUCUUGACUCCUUUAUUAUUGUAUUUAUAGAUGAUAUAUUGGUGUAUUCCAAGAGUGAGGUUGAGCAUGAAAAUCAUUUGUGGAUUGUGCUUCAAAAUUUGAGAGAUGAGAAGUUGUAUGCUAAGUUCUCUAGGUGCGAGUUUUGGUUAGAGUUUGUUUCUUUCUUGGGUUAUGUAGUGACUAAUAAUGGUAUUAUGGUGAUAACUUUUCAGACUUGAUAUGGUCAUUAUGAGUUCUUGGUCAUGUUCUUUGGGUUGACCAAUGCCCCUACUGCUUUCAUAAAGUUAAUGAACCGGAUGUUUUAAUCGUAUCUUGAAUCCUUUGUUAUUGUAUUUAUAGAUGAUAUCUUGGUGUAUUCCAAGAGUGAGGUUGAGCAUGAAGAGUAUUUGUGGAUUGUGCUUCAGAUAUUGAGGGAUAAGAACUUGUAUGUUAAGUUCUCUAAGUGCAAGUUUUGGUUGGAGUUUGUUUCUUUCUUAGGUUAUGUGGUGACUAAGAAAGGUAUUAUGGUUGAUUCAUCCAAGGUUAAAAUAGUUCGUGAUUAGGAUAAACCUACUUUGCCCACUGAGAUUCAAAGUUUUGUUGGCUUGGUAGGUUAUUAUCGGUAUUUUGUUGAGGGUUUUUCAUCUAUUGCAGCUCCAUUAACCAAGUUAACCCAGAAGAAGAUUUUUUUCAGUGGUCUGAUGCUUGUAAGGCGAGCUUUCAAAAGCUCAAGAAUUUAUUGACUUCAGCUCCUAUCUUGACUUUGCCUAACGAGCACAUGAGUUUUACUAUCUUUUGUAAUGCUUUAAGUGUUGGGUUAGGUGUUGUGUUAAUGCAGAAGGUCAAGGUGAUUGCUUAUGAGUCUCGUCAGUUAAAGCCUCAUGAGAGGAAUUAUCCUACCCAUGAUUUGGAGUUGUAUGCAAUUGUGUUUGCCUUAAAGUUGUGGAGGCAUUAUUUGUAUGGAUUCCAUUAUGAGUUUUUCUUAAAUCAUCGUAGUCUUUAGUACUUCCUUACCCAGCAAGAUCUUAAUAUGAGGCAACAUCAUUGGCUUAAGUUUCUUAAGUACUAUGACUUGACUAUUCUCUACAAUCCAGGCAAGGAUAAUGUAGUUGCGAAUACUUUAAGCCAAAAGUUAACUAUCAUAGGUAGAUUGGUGCAUCUUUUGACCCAAGAGAAGCCUUUGGUCUUAGAGGUUCAAUCUUUAGCUAACCAGAUAGUUAGACUUGAUAUUUUGAUACCUGGGUGUAUUUUGUUUUUUGUGGUCUAGAUCUUCUUUGAUGGAGUAGAUUCAAGCUCAUCAGUUUGAUGAUGUUAGAUUGAGGUUGGUUUAAGAUAAGGUGUUGAGUGGGGAAGCUAAGGAAGCCUCACUUAAUCAGAUAAAGUUUUGCGGAUUGGAGGUCGAGUUUGUAUGUUGAGAGUGGGUAAUUGGAUUAGGUUGAUCUUGGAGGAGGCCCAUUGUUCCAGAUAUUCUAUCCAUCUAAGCGUGACUAAGAUGUAUCAUGAUUUGAGGCAGCAUUACUGGUGGGGCGGUAUGAGGUGAGAUAUAGAAGAUUUUGUGGCUCGUUACCUAUGUUAUCAGCAGGUGAAGGCCAAGCAUUUGAUACCUGGUGGGUUACUUCAGAGGUUACCCAUUCCCGAGUAGAAGUGGAAAAAUAUCCCUAUGGACUUCGUGACUGGGUUACCUCAUACUUCUUAUGAUUCUGACAUUGUUUGGGUCAUCGUGGAUCGAUUGACCAAAUUAACUCAUUUUAUUCUGGUUCAAGUCUUAUUCAGUGCUGAACGGUUAGCUCGUAUCUACAUUUGUGAGAUUAUGUGUCUGUAUGGUGUGUUAGUGUCUAUUAUUUCAGAUUGAGGUUCUGUGUUCACAUCUUAUUUUUGGAAGACUUUUCAUAAUGAGUUGGGUACUCGGGUUGAUCUUAGCACAAUGUUUUACCCCUAGAUUGCUGGUCGGUCAGAGCGGACUAUCUAGGUUUUGGAGGAUAUGCUUCAAGCAUGCAUGAUGGAUUUUGGUGGCUAGUGGGAGCAGCAUUUGGCUUUAGUAGAGUUUGCAUAUAAUAAUAGCUACCAUUCCAGUAUUGAUAUGGCCCCUUUUAAGGCAUUGUAUGGUAGGAGUUUUCACUCCCCAGUGGGUUAGUUUGAUGUUUUAGAGGUGAUACCUUGAGGUAUAGACUUUCUUCGUGAGUCUUUGAAUAGAGUUUGGGUCAUUCAGGAUAGACUUAGAGUGACUCAGAGUAGGCAGAAGUGCUAUGUUGAUCAUAGACUUUGUUCCUUGAUAUUUGGUGUUAGUGAUCAUGUUUUCCUUCGAGUUUCACCUAUGAAGGGUAUGAUGAGGUUUAGGAAGAGGUAAAAGCUUAGCCGCAGGUAUAUUGGUCCAUUUGAGAUUCUUUAGACUAUUGGUGAUAUGGCUUAUGAGUUGGCCUUGCCCCCUGAUCUAUCAGUUGUUCAUCCAAUUUUUCAUGUUUCUAUGCUUCAUUGCUAUAUUCCUGAUGAGUCUCAUGUCAUUCGUUGGGAGUCAGUUUAGUUAGAUAAGCGGUUGUCCUUUGUUGAAGAGCUGGUAUCCAUUUUGGCUAAGGAUGUUAGGCGAUUGCACUCUAGAGUUAUCCCUGUGGUUGAAGUUCAGUGGCGACAUCGACCUAUAGAUGAGGCAACUUGGGAGGUUGAGUCUAAUAUGCGUAGAUCUUAUCCUGAGCUCUUUAUUGAUUCGGGUGUUUCUUUGCCUUAGUUCGAGGACAAACUAGACUUUUAGUGGUGGAUGAUGUAAUGACCUAAAAAUUUGAUGAAAUAUGUAAAAUUUAUAAUUUUAUAUUAUUUGAGUGUUUUACCUAUCCCCAUAGUUGCAUUAUGAUAUUUCUGGGGUGUGGGAAUGAUUGAUAUUAUUUUCGAUGCAUUUUGGUACCAUUUAUAUGAUAUUGUGGGUUUUUAUGGCUUUAUGAGCCUUAUUUUAGACUUAUGGAGAUAUCUUUUAUUCCGUGUGAUGGAUGGACGAACAGACUGCGGCAGCAGCUCUGGUAUAUCAAUUUUAGGCUAGGUAGACCUUUGGUUUGGGUCCCGGUGCACCAGAGCUCAUUUCAACCUAUUGGUUAAAAAGUUGAAAAAAUUAGAAAUAUGGAUGUGGGACCCACAUUUGGUCAAAAUGACCUCAGAUGAAAAUUUUGACUUUGCUAGUAGAUCCAGAACAUCGAUUUUAGAGUGGUGACAUAUUUGAUGUAAUUUUACAAAUUUUAAAUCUCAUUUUGACCCUCGGUUUAGAAAAUUAUAAUUUUGGGUUUUAGCGGUCGACUUUGUGAAAAUGAUAUUUUUUUGAAAUUUUGAUAUCGCCAUUGAAUUUGGAGCGUUGAAUUUAGUGUGGUUACAGUUCGUUUUCAUGUAUCGAACUCUAAUCGAAUUGGGCACCCCGUCGAAGUCUGCUUCAAAUUAAAAAUAUCUGGUGCACCAUGUUGUUGGCGCAACCAGAUACAUAAAGCGUAAAUCGGGAUUAAGGAAUGAGUUUUAUGUGUUAAAUGUCUGGUAAUUCGGGUACAGUAUAGAUAACCCUUUUUAUUCAGAUUUUGCUCAUUCUGUCACAUUCCUCUUAAGAGUUAAACCCUAAAAUAGUGUGAGAGCUUAAAAGUGAAGCUUGUGGAAGUUUGAGAAGCUAGAUUAACAUAUAUUUCUUGAUUUUAUUACGAAUUUAAGGUAAGAAUUCACCCUUUUCUUAGUAAUUUCUUGAUAAUUUCUCAAAACCCCAAAAAUCUUAGGACUUGAUUUUAAACCUCAAUUUCACUUAUUUUCACUUGAAUAAUGUUUUUAUCUUAUAAUUACUAGUUUUUCAUCAAAUUAACCUUCAAAACUACUUCGAUUCUUGAUUUUAACUCGGAUUUCAAAAAUUUUACCCGAUAAAGCUCAAAAAUAGUUUUUCUUCGAUUUGAACCUCAUUUUUUACUCGAUAUGACUUGGGUUUUCAUCUGUAUAUUCCUAAAAAUAUGGGAAACAUGUUUUUAAAGUAAAGUUCUAAUUUUUCCCUUCUUUUUUGAAAACCCAUUCUGGGGGUCCGUUUUUACCCCAAAUCAAAAGUAGUCAAUGUGGGUAUCGUUGGUUUUGUUUUGAUGCAUAGAUUUUAUAUUUAAUAAUUUUAGAAAAGUUCAAGAUUGUUCGUGGAAAGUAAAGUUGUGGGUUCGAAGUGUAGUUGACUAGUUUCGGCUUUCGAGAUAGGUUAUGGCUUAACUCUUUCAGACUGGACUGGAUAGUAAAUGAUGAUACAAAAUGCAUGUUAAGGGUGGAAACUAAUAAUAAAAAAUGACUAUUUAUGUUUUGUAUUCGUGUGGGGGCCUAUAUAUGAUGUAAUUGUCGAAAUUGAGUUAUUAUGUGAUGUGUGUAACCGUGUGGGGUUCUAUGGGAUAUUGAUAGCCUUGAAUACAUUUGAAUAAUUAUAUUGUGUUGUUAAGAUUCUUAAUAUGUUACCAUUGGUGUAUUUUUAUUAUAUGCAUACUUUAUUGUCAUACGAGACAUAUGGAAAUUCGUGGAUGAAACUGAAAUAAUGAGUAGCUAUUGGUUCACGUGGUUGUGGAAAUAUAUCAUUCUAGUUGAUUAUGAAAAAGACUAAUUGUGAUUGGUUGUGAGCAUUACAUCCUCAUAUCAUACUCAUUCAUGAAACAUUGGUACCACCAUGGCAACAUAUGAGAAACACUGGCAACACCUUUUUAAAACCCUUCCCGAGGGAUGUGUUGAGGAGGAUAUAUUGUAACACCUUAUAAAAUUUGUUUCAAGGGAUAUGACGAAAAAAAGAUAUGCGAUAUGUGAAUUGUAUAUGAGUUGAUGAACCCCCCAUGGGUCCUACGAUAGGAAGCUUUAGCUCUGUAGGUGUAUACGGGGAUUGUGCGACGAUCCCAGAGGUUGUGCGACUACCUCGUGUAUUAUCAUCAUCAUCAUCAUGUACAUUGCACUUACUUUAUUGUAUUUAUAUUUUGUUGUAUUGCCAUAUUGACUUGUAAUCUAUGUAUUUAUCUUACCUUUGUUUACUUGUAUUUGAUGAUCUUGUGUCUAUACAUUCUCCCUCUUCUAUUUAUAUGUGACAUAAUGUAUACUUGUUUUCUAUAUCUUGGUGUGUUGUUUUAAUAAAUAUUAUAUAUUAGAACUUUUAGUGCCAGCGGUGGGAUACCGUUGUGGGACAUUUUCUGAUUGCAGGUGACGUGCCCUUAGUUUAUAUUUUGUAUGCUUUAUUUACUACUUUGCUUGGUCGGCGUAUAAUACCUAUUGAGUACAAGUGGACCGUACUCAUGGCUACUGCGCCCUUUCAGUGUAGGUCCUAGCUUGAAUGUGCCUCAACUUGCUUGAUUCAGGCGACUGUUGGAGUUUCCAAGGUAGUGAUUGGACAUUCAUGCGUCCGAAGUUCACCUCUAUCUUUCUAUAGUAGUUAUGUCUUUAUUAGUAUUCAGAGAUAAAUAUUAUUUUUUUAUGUUUAUUUUUCUGAUGUAUUUGAUCUUGGAUUAUAUUAGUAGUUCUUACACUAUUAACACCUAGUUUUGGGCAUGAUUGAUAUUUUGGAUAAGCUCUUUUCAUAUUGUUAUAAUUACUUAUAUGGUUCGGCUUCAUUCUAGAAGCCUUACCUUGAGAUAUUUCUGUCUUUUUCUGUUUUUGUAUCAGUUUGAGUAAUAGACUUACUUGUCAAGGUACGCCAUGACAAGUGCCAUCAUGACCCUCAUUUUUGGGUCGUGACAUUACCCCCUUCCAUUGUAGUUUUGGUUAUUUAUCUCCCUUUUAAUUUAUGUUCCUUUUAUUUCUCUACUUCUGUUUUUCCAUUUCCGUUUUUCUUUUUUUGGUCCAAUUUCCUUUUUUCUUUUUUUUUACCUUUUUAUGCUUCUUUGUGUUAGGAUAUACGAUAAACCAUGCAUUUUGAUAUAGUAUUAUUUAUUGAAUAAUUACCUAUUAAUUAAAUUCAAUAAAUUGUUACAAUAAAUAGAUCAUUGUCGUAGAUGUGUCCUCAACUUAUAUAGUAGAUGGUUUGUUGUAUAGAUUUUAAGUUUAUAAACAGAAGAUUAAAUCACCGUUAUUAUAAUUUAAAGUUCUAAUUCACAAUCGUAGAUGGAAAUUUAAACAAACCAUCAAAAUGAUUAUAGCAUAAGAUUAAAUGUAAUUUAUUUUGAUUAAGAUAAUGGUAUAGUUCUAACUUCUCAUGCUAGUGUAUUUUGUAUGUGUUAAAUAGGACCGAGUAGAGAUAGUUGUUUUAGACUGACUGAUAAAAACACAUUCUCUAAACUGUUAAAUGUACUUAUAUUCUCAACCUUGAUAUAACUAUUAUGAUAUAUAUUAUUUAUCAUUUUGAUUUAUUAAAAGGUGAGAUUCUGAGAUGGGUCAAUAUUCCUAGUAGAUUAGAUGAAAUAAUAUAUAUUGAUAAAAUAAUAAGUUAGUUGAUGGAAUUCAUGUCUCAAUGUAGAGAUUGAUGAUACACGUUUUAUGAGAAGCUUAUAAGUUUUCAUGUGUAAACCCGACCGGUGGAUUUGAUAAUCCAACAUAUGAAAUUAGCUAAGAAUUGAUCUAAAGAAAAUUAAUCAUUAUAUUAAAUUCGUUAGCAAUUUAAUUUAUUGAUUAGUAUCUGUAAUCUUAACAUGGGAAAUUAUAUAAGUGUUUAAUGAGAAAUUUUAAAUAAAAAUAGAGGAGUAUAAUUACAAAUUUUUAGGGGAAUGAUUUGUAAUUUAUUAUUGUAAGAAUAAUUCAAACUAGUAUUUUGAAUUAUUUCCAUAAUAGAGAGCAUCAGUAAUUAAUUUCAUGGUCCCUCCAGUGCGUAUAUUAAAUUAAAACUCGGAAUCCUACUUUUUAUGGGAAAAGAAGUCACUAUUUUUUCCUUGUUCAAGUAAAAAACAAAAGUCUGUUUUUCUUUUCUUACUGGACUAAGAGAGUAUCUUUUAAACAGGGAUUCCCCUAACCUAAAAAUUCAGUUUUCUAUUCAGUACUUACCCAGCCAAGUAUUAAGAGAGUUCGGCUGUGAAUUUGGGAUCACUGUAGAAGACCGCAAAAUCGAAGAUGAAUUUUCUUCACGAUAUCUUCUCAUACUUGAAGAGAUUUUCUUGAUUAAUUUUAAGCGCGAUUUGUGUGAACUAAGUGUAUGUUUGUUGUUUAUAAUUCAUGUAAGCACUAUGUUUCUGAAACGCUUCCAAUGUGUACUUUCUAACACUUUGUUCAUUUAUUUUUUCGUAAAAUUACUUUAUUAUUUAUUUUCUUUUUACACAAAUUUUAUCUUAUACACUCGUUUUUUCUUUUUUCCCUUAUUUAUUUUUAAUUCAUUUAUCUUUUUUACUUCUUUUUUUCCCUACUUGUAUUCUCUUUUUUUCCUUAUUGAUUCCUUUAUUUUUACAUUUUUUAUUAUUUAUUUUCUCUUUAAUUUCAAUUUCUUUAUUUCUUGUUCCUUCUCUUUUCUUUUAUUUCUUUAUUAUUUUUUUAUCUUUGCAUUUUUUAUUUUUUAUUUUUCUUUAUUUUUUAAUUUCUUUAGUUCUUGUUCCAUUCCUUUUCUUUUUUUUUGUUUGUUUCUUUAUUCUUUAUUUUUUCCUCUUUUUUGCAUUUAUUGAUUUGUCAAAUCAUAAUAUUCUUUAUUUUUUCACCACACGGUAAUUUCAUAUUUUUUGUCCUUUUUCAUUUUGUUUCUUUUCUUUUCUUUCUUUCUUUAUUUAUUUUCUUUUGUAAUUAUAUUUGAUUCGUUUUUCUUUUUUUAUUUCUAGUUUUUUGCAUUUUCUUUAACUCGUAAUGAUACCAUAGUAGUAUAUCUAUAUAUUGUCAUGGUAUCUUUGAUUCCUGCUUCAAUUCUUAGUGAGGCCUUCGUGAUAUCAUCAUAAUAUAUCUAUUUACUAUCAUAGUAUCAUUAAUGUUUGCUUCAAUCCUUCGGUCAGACUUCAUGGUACCAUCACAAUAUAUAUAUAUAUAUAUAUAUAUAUAUAUAUAUAUAUAUGACACGACACAAAAAAACAAGGGGCAUAAUGGCACUUGUCGCGAUGUGCCUUGACAAGUAAGUCUAUCAACCAAACUGAUACACAAAGGGAAAAAUCAUGAUGGAACUUGUCGCGGCGAGCCUUAACAAGUAAGUUUAUCACCCAAACUGAUACACAAAGGAAAAAAAAGAAGUGCCCCCAAGGUAAAGCUUCUUGAAUGAAGUCGUGCCACAUAGAUAUGAUAAAAGUGGAAAUAAUAAAAUCAACACGUGCAGCCAUAACUCUCAAAACUUGGGUCGACAGUAUAAGAACGUAUCUAAAUACAACUCGAAUCUAAGAAAAUACAUAAGAUAUCCAAUUACAGGAGAAACUCUGUCUCUGAAGUAAAAGUAAAGACAUAGUCUAUAUAGAAAGGUAGCAGAAGACAUUCGAAUGUCUGAAAAUCAUCAACUACCUCCAAAGCUUCAAACAACAAGUAUAACACAAGUAGACAUUAUAUCACAUGUAAGUAUAAAUAGAGAAGAGCAUACAUAUACAGGAUGGUCAAGUAUAAGUAACAGGACCUAAAGCAAGUAGACAUAUAGCAAGUCAAUACGUAAAUUCAAUCACAACAUCAACCCAAUAAAGCANNNNNNNNNNNNNNNNNNNNNNNNNNNNNNNNNNNNNNNNNNNNNNNNNNNNNNNNNNNNNNNNNNNNNNNNNNNNNNNNNNNNNNNNNNNNNNNNNNNNNNNNNNNNNNNNNNNNNNNNNNNNNNNNNNNNNNNNNNNNNNNNNNNNNNNNNNNNNNNNNNNNNNNNNNNNNNNNNNNNNNNNNNNNNNNNNNNNNNNNNNNNNNNNNNNNNNNNNNNNNNNNNNNNNNNNNNNNNNNNNNNNNNNNNNNNNNNNNNNNNNNNNNNNNNNNNNNNNNNNNNNNNNNNNNNNNNNNNNNNNNNNNNNNNNNNNNNNNNNNNNNNNNNNNNNNNNNNNNNNNNNNNNNNNNNNNNNNNNNNNNNNNNNNNNNNNNNNNNNNNNNNNNNNNNNNNNNNNNNNNNNNNNNNNNNNNNNNNNNNNNNNNNNNNNNNNNNNNNNNNNNNNNNNNNNNNNNNNNNNNNNNNNNNNNNNNNNNNNNNNNNNNNNNNNNNNNNNNNNNNNNNNNNNNNNNNNNNNNNNNNNNNNNNNNNNNNNNNNNNNNNNNNNNNNNNNNNNNNNNNNNNNNNNNNNNNNNNNNNNNNNNNNNNNNNNNNNNNNNNNNNNNNNNNNNNNNNNNNNNNNNNNNNNNNNNNNNNNNNNNNNNNNNNNNNNNNNNNNNNNNNNNNNNNNNNNNNNNNNNNNNNNNNNNNNNNNNNNNNNNNNNNNNNNNNNNNNNNNNNNNNNNNNNNNNNNNNNNNNNNNNNNNNNNNNNNNNNNNNNNNNNNNNNNNNNNNNNNNNNNNNNNNNNNNNNNNNNNNNNNNNNNNNNNNNNNNNNNNNNNNNNNNNNNNNNNNNNNNNNNNNNNNNNNNNNNNNNNNNNNNNNNNNNNNNNNNNNNNNNNNNNNNNNNNNNNNNNNNNNNNNNNNNNNNNNNNNNNNNNNNNNNNNNNNNNNNNNNNNNNNNNNNNNNNNNNNNNNNNNNNNNNNNNNNNNNNNNNNNNNNNNNNNNNNNNNNNNNNNNUGUAGGGGGGUGCGCGGAUUUAAUAGGUAUAAUAGAUUCACUACUUAUUGAUUUGAAGUUUUUUUUACGUCAAGAAUAUGUCUGCAAUUAUGAAUGGACUGUUAAUUGCAUGUGUGAGAACCUUAUACUUUACAUGUCAUAAUUCAGAGAAUAUCAUAUUUCAUCGUAGAUUUUUAUUCUUAUGAAAGUGCUAAACUAUAUAAAUGGCUAUGAUUAUUUUUUUCACGGAGUUGAAGAUCACAAAAACUUUUAAACUACAUGACAAAAAGCGUGGUGUACUUAGCAUUUUUCCAUUACAGUAAUUCAAGAUUUCAUGCUAAACUAUUGUCUUCUUUUCUCAAGUUCUUCUCUUUUUUCUUUUAAAUUUGGUCAUGCUAAACUAUUGUUUCUUUUCUCAAGUUCUUCUCUUUUUCUUUAAAAUUUAGAUGUGCAAAUGCACAUGUUUUUCUAUUUCUGAAAUUAUCUAAAUUUACAUUAUUGUUACAAUUUCCUAUAUACUACCUAUUGUAGUAAAUGCUGCAACUUGAAGCAGAAAUAGAUAUUUUCUUUUAUGCGGAUGAUCGUAUCACACAACUUAAACAAAUUCAAGGGUAAUUAUCAUAGCUUUACGGUACAUGGGAAAUGAAAUGGAAUAGUGCAUACAACAUGGUCAUAUUCAAGAUGAUAAUCUAUAUCUAAUUAGAUUUCAUGAGUUACAAAAAAAAAUUAUCUAUAUAUAUUCUUUACUUAAAGAAUAUGUCUACUCAACUCCCUUCAACCUAGCUAAUUAUUAUGGCUUAACUAGUCUAUAGAUAGUAAUAAACUAUAGAGGUUUUGGAUAUUGAUUUCCUCCUUACUCUUUAUAAAUAGUAAUCACCUAUAGAGGUUUCUACAUUUUUUAUUUUAUCCUUUAUUUAUCACUAUUCUCUUUUAGUGCGAUAAAUAACAACACUUUAGUAUUAUUAAUGUAAUAAAUAGUAUAUUUCUCCUUUUAACCUUUUGAGUCAUUUAUAUUUUCCAAAUAUCAAAUUUUCCUCCAUGCUAUGAAUAGGUAUGGAGAUUUUUUAGAUCAAGGGGUAAGCAAAGAGAUCUCUUGACUAGAUCUGGUCAGAAAUCUCUUGACUAACUUUUAGAUUGAUUAUGUUAAUAAAGAAAUUUUGGCAUAAAUAAUACAAUUUGGAAUUCAUUUAAUUAUUUUCUUUCUCACUCUCUCUUUGACUUUUGACAUUCAUUUUGUCUUAAUUUUAUUAGACAAAAAAGUUAGGUAACUACAAUUUAAGUAAUCAAUUUUUAACUUUUACUAUAAUAAUUUAUUAAUUAAUAGUAUUUUCAUAUAUAUAUAUAUAUAUAUGUGUGUGUAUGUAUAUUGCACUCUUUCAACAAAAUUUGCUUUCAUUAUGUAUCCCGCCUCCCUUUCUUUUUCAUGUAUCUUUGAUUCUUUGAUGUUAAUUUAAAAUUUUAAUAUAUAUUUGAAAGUUCCAAAUGAUAACAGCACAAGACACAAUCUUAAAAGAAAUUUGUAGUAAAGAUAAGUUAUGGCGAUAUGUUUCAAAUAUUUGAUAACUUUUGAUUGGUAUUUAGACUUAGAAAAAUUACUCUAAGUUAUCAUGUAGAGCUUUAAAAAGAAAGUUCACGGUGAAAUUUAAUUCCAUGAAUGAUUGUCUUUACUAAUAGAGAAUCGUGCCUUGUAAAUUGGAUAGAUUUUUAUAGCUUAUUUUGAGUUUUAAUUUUGUUAUUUUAUAGCUUCAUGAAAAUAGUUUUUUUGAGUAUGUGCCAAAGAUUAGAACUAACAUCCCACUAUUUUAAUUUUCAUAUAUCAUAAACUAGUUUAGGUGUACGCGCCUUGCGUGUACCUCACUUUAAUGAGUUCAAACAUUACAUUAAAUAGGAUAAUGUUUAAAUAAUAAAGAUGAAUAUAAUAAUUAAAUUUAAUAUCUUUUGAGUGUGUAAAGAUGGAGAAUUUAUUUAUUAAACCUAAUCUUUACCAAAAUAUUUUAAAAGUCGAUCGACAUUAAUCUACCAUCUGUAAAUUGCAACAAAAUAAUACAAUGAUAGAGACAUCAAAAUAAUACAAUUAAAUCUAAUCUUUACACACAAAAAUUUUCUCAAAGUCUUCCGACACUUAUCUACCACCUGUAAACAAUAACAAAAUAAUACGAUAAUAGCGAUAUCAUAAUAAUACAACUAAACCUAACUUUUACAUAAAAAAAUUCCUCAAAGCCGACCAAUAUUUAUCUAUCACCUAUAAACUGCAGUAAAAUAAUACGAUAAAAGUGAUAUAAAAACAAUACAAUCAAACUUAAAUUUUACACACAAAAAAUUUUCAAAGCCGAUCGAGAUUCAUCUAAGAACUAUAAACUACUAGAAAAUAACAAACUAAUAGAGAUAUUGCGAUGAUACAAUUAAACAUAACCUUUAUCUAAAGAAAAAAUUCAAAGCCGACCCACAUUCAUCUAGCAUCUGUAAAUUAAAAUAAAAUAAUUAGAUAAUAACGAUAUCAAAACAAUACAAUUAAACCUAACCUAACACAAGAAAUUCUUCAACGCCAACCGACAUUCAUCUAUGACAUGUAAACAAUAAAAAAUAUAAUAGUGAUCACAAAGCUUCGAUUUUGAUCCAACUAACUCUUAUCUGAGCGAAAAUUUUAACCUUAAAGAAUGAUUUAAAUUUUGACCCUAAAAAAUAAUUUUGAAUAAAAACAAAGAAGAGGUAGAUAUACACACGUGUUGAAUUCUAUUAUGCUGAUAAAAACAGUGAAGAAGUUGAGGGUUAGAAAAUCAAGCAUCCACCAAGCUAGACAUGUAAUCGAAUCAAGUUAGAUGAGCAACAAUCAUAUUUUCCCAAUAGGCAAAUCGGUUUGUUCUCUAGUUUAACAUACAUCUCAAUAUUUAUAGAAGUAUUUCCUUAAUAUUAAUUCUCCUACCAUAUAUUUUAGAAGUCUCAUAUAUUUUAGAAAGUCUAGUUAAUAUAAUAAAAAAUAAUUAAAUAAUUUAUAUCUAUAAUCUAUAUCUAUAUCUAUAAUCUAUAAUAUAUUAAAAGUGUGAAGACCCUUAGAAAUAUGAUUUGAACUUUUUAUCCUUCAUUAAAAUAUUCUGCAAUAGACAAAAUAAUCUUUUUAUAUAUUUUUAUUUAUUAGUAUUUAAUUUCUUUAUAAUAUUGUCUCCUAAAAUAUUGUAACGCCCCGAGAUCCCAUCCCGAGACGUCACACGGUGCUUAUGGACCCAAAGGACCACAAGCUAACCCUUUUCUGAUAUCUGUACCUAUACAUUGCAUAAUAUCUGAAAUAAAUACGGAAACUUGCCAUAAGAUUCAACACAUCUAUACAUACUCAAAUCUGAAAACUGAAUACUAAUACAUCCAUCUGAAAAGCCUCUAAACUAUCUGAACUGUGGAGUUGAUGGGACAGGUCCCCAACUAACUCCGUCAACUGAAAAUAAACAAAAUCUGAAACAAUAAUAGUAAACUGAGAUUCGUCCUCGAAAGAACUGAGAUUCGUCCUCGAAAGAAGAGGACUCACUGCUACUGCUGCUGAUAGGGACUGAACUGCUAAGGAUAAUCUGGAUCCUGUGCCUCUGAACCUAUGGUGUCAAAUAGAACACCAUAACGCAAAUGCGUUAGUACAUGAAUGCAAGGGCUCAUGCAUACAUAAUAUCUAAACUGAAUAAUCAUGAAAGAUGCCGCAUGCGAACACAUACAUGAAUGCACAGAACAUGAACACAAUUAUCACAACUCUAGAUACUGAAACUCAUAUACCACUUUACUGCAGACUGAACUCACUACUGACACUGAGAUACUGAAUCACUGACUUAUCUGAUACUGAUAACUGAGGAUAUGGAUGUGCUUACAUCAAUGACUGAAUUCUUGGACUUACUGCUUUCGACUGACAGAAUUAGAGAUCAACCUUUCUAACAGAUAAUUUUGGAAGCUUUAUCAAUGAUAAGAAAUAUGAUUAUAUCUGAAUCUGACAAUAAGAAUACUCAAUAGAGAUCUGAUACUGUGAUCAAGCCUGUCUGACAGCAUAUCUCUGAAUAUAAUAUCAAAUAAAUGUAUGUGAGACCAAGUCUAUCUGAUGGGAUGACCCAUAAAUUAAUGGAACUAUCUGAGUUCCUCACAAUGAUAGAUGACUGUAUCUGACAGUCCUGAUUUCUGAAAACUGAUUUUGAAACUGAGACUGAAUCUGAAACUGAAAUUGUGGGAAGUAGUCACUUAACUGAUAUUCCUCGACCUACCACAUGUAGGGUCCAACCUGUGCCCCAGUUGGAAGGGUGUCAUUACCGCGCCAUUAGUAAAGACAACUCUAUCUGACCCUCAUCUAGCAGGUCCUCAAACGAGAACGAUGGAGCCCUUAUCAAGCAGGUCAAGCCACCUCAUCUACCCUCAUCUAAUAGGUAUGAUAUCUCUCAUCCACCCUUAACUAACAGGUGUGAUGUCUCAACCUACUGGCUAUGUAGUUCUGGAGCACAAGGAUUGCUUCUAAGAAUCACACCCUCUACUAGUAGGUAAGUUCCCAUCCUUGAGCUCUCUUGGUGCUAGUUUCUACUCCCAACUGAAAGACUCAGAACUGAAUUCUCAACUGAACACUGGCUGAACUAAAUCUGACACUGAUCAUAUUACUCAAAAAGUCUGACUGAGUUACGCUGAGAUCACUUGGUUCCGUAUCUGACGAAAAAGAUAUCGAAUCAUGGUAUCUGACUGACGAUAUAGAGCUUGAAUAGAUUACACGAAUCGCUUCUGAGAUUAGGAUUGAAUAACUUGAAUACUAUUAGAACUGAGCUGAUUACAGGUUUGAGGCUAGAUUACUAGUGAUAUAGAGAUUACAGAGAUAACUGAGAUUACUGAGCUUUCUUAAGUUCCGCACUUAUCUGAGGAUACAGAGUUCUAUAGUUCACUGAGUUUUAAGAAUCAUGGCUCAACUGAAAUUAUCGAGAAACUGACACGGGCUCUAGACAACAACUCUAUUUUCGGGUAUAAAUACCCCCAGGACUUGAUAGCAUAAAAGUAAGUAUCAUCAUUCAUUCAUCAUCACAAGCAUUCAUGCAUCAUCACAAUCAUUCAAGCAUCUUCACAAGUAAUUCAGGAAUCUUGCCAUAUGUUUAUUUCCACAGUCAUUAAACAUCACCUCAAACAUUUUAGGAUCUCAAACGUCUAUUCAUCAUCACAAUCGCCAAGGAGUCACUUUAGGCAUCUCAGAAUCAUAAUCAUAUAAUAACGUAGGGGGAACAUGCUACUAGAUUGUACUUCCUUCAACAAGAUUUUACCUCAGCUAUUUCAUACCUAUAUCGAUCUUGACAUGUGUUUGGAUAUCCCAUGGCUUGGGGAGACUUCAUACUAUCACGUCAUAACUUACUUGCUAACCACUUGGCAUGUAUUAAAAGCUUAACAUAUAUCAAGAGCACAUAAUUAGGGNNNNNNNNNNNNNNNNNNNNNNNNNNNNNNNNNNNNNNNNNNNNNNNNNNNNNNNNNNNNNNNNNNNNNNNNNNNNNNNNNNNNNNNNNNNNNNNNNNNNNNNNNNNNNNNNNNNNNNNNNNNNNNNNNNNNNNNNNNNNNNNNNNNNNNNNNNNNNNNNNNNNNNNNNNNNNNNNNNNNNNNNNNNNNNNNNNNNNNNNNNNNNNNNNNNNNNNNNNNNNNNNNNNNNNNNNNNNNNNNNNNNNNNNNNNNNNNNNNNNNNNNNNNNNNNNNNNNNNNNNNNNNNNNNNNNNNNNNNNNNNNNNNNNNNNNNNNNNNNNNNNNNNNNNNNNNNNNNNNNNNNNNNNNNNNNNNNNNNNNNNNNNNNNNNNNNNNNNNNNNNNNNNNNNNNNNNNNNNNNNNNNNNNNNNNNNNNNNNNNNNNNNNNNNNNNNNNNNNNNNNNNNNNNNNNNNNNNNNNNNNNNNNNNNNNNNNNNNNNNNNNNNNNNNNNNNNNNNNNNNNNNNNNNNNNNNNNNNNNNNNNNNNNNNNNNNNNNNNNNNNNNNNNNNNNNNNNNNNNNNNNNNNNNNNNNNNNNNNNNNNNNNNNNNNNNNNNNNNNNNNNNNNNNNNNNNNNNNNNNNNNNNNNNNNNNNNNNNNNNNNNNNNNNNNNNNNNNNNNNNNNNNNNNNNNNNNNNNNNNNNNNNNNNNNNNNNNNNNNNNNNNNNNNNNNNNNNNNNNNNNNNNNNNNNNNNNNNNNNNNNNNNNNNNNNNNNNNNNNNNNNNNNNNNNNNNNNNNNNNNNNNNNNNNNNNNNNNNNNNNNNNNNNNNNNNNNNNNNNNNNNNNNNUCACAAAAGGGGUCCAAAUUCUUGAUUUUCUGUGCAGGGCUGACAACGUCAUCAGAAAUGUCGUCAGAAUGUGACGACGUUGUCAAAAAGGGCGUCAGAAACGUGAUAGCCCGUUAGAAACGUCGUCACCGUUUUCCAGCUUGACAUGCUGGAGUAAAAUGGGCAUAACUCUUUGCUCCGAUAUCAGAUUUAGGCAAAAUUGGUAUCGUUAGAAAGCUAAUUCAAAGAUCUUUCAUUUGAUAUAUAGAAAACCACCCAGUUCUUAAUAUACAAAGAGUUAUGGUCGAUUGAAGUUGACCCAAAUUUUGACGGUCACUAAAACUUGAACGAUAGGAAAGUUUUCAACUAGCUCAUGAGUUAGGGGACCUCUAUGAUCUUAAUUCAUGCUCAAAUAGAUUACCACAUGAUUCAAAGUAUUUCAUACUUGGGAGGAUAUUUCUUAAACAUUUUGACUCGGAUUUUCGCUUUACCAAAUACGUUCUAAGGCUCAGAUUGGAAAAGAAUUUUGCGGGGCAUUACAAAUAUAUGGGAUUAUGGCUUUAAAAUAUAUGGUAAGAUACAAUAAUUAUUGGUAAAUUUUGAAGUUAUCAAUAUUUUUGUUAAAAAAAACAAUUACGUUUUCUUUUUACUAAUUAUGAAGCAAUUAUAGUUGAACCUAAAUUUCUUUAACAAACAACAAACAAAAAAUUCUUACGGAUUAGUUAAUGUUGGAGUGCCUGCUUUAGUUUUGUCAACUUUUUUUUCCUACUUUUCCUUAAAUAACAAAAGUUUUUGUAUAAGAAACUUAAUGAACCAUUUCAAUUAAUAAUUAUGAAUUUUCUUAAUGCCAAACAUUAGACCUCGCGUAUGUAGAAUAUCUUUUGUUUUUAGGGUCAAAAUGAGUGUGAGUAAUUAAUAAUUUUAUCAAAACAAAAAAAAUUAAUUGUUGAGUCCUUCUCUAUUUAAACCGAACACUAAGUAAUAUAUAACACUUUUAAAUAUAAUUGGUCUAACUUAUGAUACUUAACACCUUUAAGUCAAUUAGAAUUUUAUCUUAUUUGAAAAAUAAUCUCUUCAAUGCUAUUUAAGUUAUUCAAAAUCAAAAUUAACAAGAAACAAAGGACUUCGUCUACUUCUAUUUUUUUUUCUUAUUUUGAUUUUGAUUCAAGUUUUUUUUUGCCUUCAUAAUCAUCAUAUUUUGUAUCUUUCUUUAUUUCUUUUUAUCAAUAACUUUAAAGAUUAUAUAUAAAUUAUACAUGAUCUCAAUGAAUUCUUCCAUCUUGAUAAUUUCUCGUGUUUUUCGUUCAGUUAAAAAUGUUGUUCGAAAAAUUAGACGAAUCAAGCAUGUUGUCACUGAAUGAAAACAACCCAAUACAUCUAAGAUUUCUCUUUUUUUUCUCCCCAAUUUUUAUGUAAUUGUGAGUAGAUUUUGAUUAUGUUAUUUAAUUAUAUUUUGGAAUAUCAUUUGUUAAUAUUAUAGUUCGAUCUUUUGUUAAACUUAUUUGUUGAAUUCAAACAUAAGGCUGUAGUUAAAUCUCGAAUUAAGAUAUGGAGAGUUUUAUUUUGAAGAGGAACAUAUAAAUUUAGGAUUAUAAUUCGCUCUUUCAAUUGUAGGUGUAUUAAUUACGUUUGAAGAUGGAUCAUGUACAUUAUUCAUUGUAAAUCGAGUUUAAUCUAUUUAUUUAUAGUCCUUAAUUAAAAUAUUUUAUAAUGAGAAAAAUUAAUUUUCAGUUCUCUUAUUUGUUCUUGACAUCUCAUAUACAAAGACGAUUAUGAACUCUGAUGGGAUAGAUAUAAUCCUCGAUAAAAAUUUAUUGGAACAUGUAGUCUAGAGCAAGUGAGGAGCCUUGCUACAAUUGCUCAUAAUUGCAUACACCUACUGCGAAGUUUUGCAUGCAAUAUUAGAAAUCACUUGAAAAGUAUGUAUUUAAUUGGUUGAGUUAUCAUAAAGCUACACUUAUAAGAUUUUAUUGAGUCAUGUAAUUGCUUCCUUAUUUGGAUGUGCACUAAGCUUUAAAUUUGCUCUUAGCAUUAGUUCGAUCUCUUGUAUUUGGAAGCUGAAUGCACUUAUUUUUUGGACUAAAUCUUAAUUUAUUAGUAUUGAAAAUAUCUGCACAUAAACUACAUUUAAAUAGUGAAAAACUUAAUUGACGAUAUAGCUAUCAUGUGGUUAACUUAAUUAUGUAAUAGACACGUCAGAACAAACAAAUAAGGAAAUAUAAAUUAUAAUUAUCUGAUAUGAAUACUUUAUCAUGUGGCCACACGUUCAACUGAAUAUAUAUAUCGUCGUUUGAGUGUCUAGAUGAAAUUUUCUUGCAAUUUCAAGGAGAUGCUCAUAUAUUCCGUUAACAUAUUUGUAUCUUAAUCUAACAAGCUAUUAAUAUUUACAAUACUAAUUCAACUAACUUCAUCAUAUUUACGUGCUCAAAAUAUAUUAAAUUCAAUCAUUAUAUUAAUAUAAUAAAUUUUAUUUUAUUUUCAUUAUUUAAAUAAAUAAUGUUUUGACUGUAACAUCGGGUACACUAAAUUAUGACAUUGAAAUCAAUGAAAAUUUUAAUUAUUAAAUUUUCCUUAUUAGAGCUGUGUGGAAAGUCUAAAAAUGACGAAGAUUUUACUUCUUCGCUUUUUUCUAAAUUACAUAUAAUAUAACAAUUAAUAUGUAGAACUUUUCUUAUGCAAAAAUAUUUUUUCUAUAUCUAUAAUUUAUAAUAUAUUAAAAAUGUGAAGCGCAUUAGAAAUUUUGUUGUUUGUUGAAUUCACACAUAUCUAUAAUCUAUAAUCUAUAAUCUAUAAUCUAUAUCUAUAUCUAUAUCUAUAUCUAUAUCUAUAUCUAUAAUCUAUAAUCUAUAAUCUAUACCUAUUCUAUAAUAUAUUAAGGAUCUUAGAAAUAUUGUUUGAACUUUUUGUCCUUCACUAAAAGUCUUUUCUUUAGACAAAAUCGUCUUUUCAUUAUUUUUUCCUAAUAUUUAAGAAUUAAAAAUUAAUUAAAUAUAUUUAUGGUAAAACUUUUCCUGAUUAGAAGUUAUCAGAAUUUUACUAUAUUUUCCUAAUUUAAGAAUUAAAAAUUAAUUAAAUAUAUUUAUGGUACAACAUUUUCUUACUAGAAGUCAUCAAAAUUAAUGACAAUAAUUUUUUUUAUUAGUUUAAGAAUUAUAAAUCAACUAAAUUUGAUUUUAAGAAGAUUUAGAAAAUGUAGAAAUAAAUAUAAAACUGUUAGAAUAAGAAAAAUUUAAGAAAUAUAGAUUUUUAAAAGUUUUAAGUAUGUAAUAAGAAUAUAAUCAAUGAUUUUGCAAAAAUUUGAAUUUAAAAGCAAGGAAAGUUUUAAAUAUAUAAAAAAAAUUGUAACGCAAAUAUAGUUUAAAUUGAUAUGUCUCUCUUAGCUUGUGGCAACAAGAAAAAAAGUAUUAAAUGAUAAACGUAAAAUUAAUGAUCCAUCAACCAUUUGGAACUUCUGGUGGUGAAAUUUAUAUGUGUAUAUGUUUAUGUUCACAUUAUUAUAUUAAAAUCUGAAAGGUUUUUGAGAAGUGAUUUGAACUUUGAAGUUUUUUUAAAAAUCUCCGCAAAAAAUAAAAUUAUUUAAUUUUAAAUAAGUAAGCGCUAUACGUGCGAGAUACGUGAGAUUAAACUAGUAGAUUAAAAAUUUGUAAAAAGACAGUUUCGUCUAAAGAAGUAUUUUUAAUGAAGGAUAAAAAGUUUAAAUUAAUUUUCUAAUGAUAUUUACACUUUUAAUGUUAUAUUAUAGAUAUAUAUAUAUAAAUAUAGUUAUAGAUUAGAGGCAUGAAUAGUUUAUAGAUAGAUUUGAGAAGUUAAUUUAUAACGCGCGAUCAAAUUGACUAUUACACUUAAAAACAGCUUUUCUUUAAUUUUCUCAACAGACCAUAUUCUUAUUCUAUAUGCUGGAUCAUUCUGCACAUGGCAGUUCCUAUCAAUUUCAGCCGAUAGAGUUCAGAAUUCUUCUACAAACCCCUCACUACGAAAAGGUAAUUUCAACUGCAGUGUUGGAAAUUAUCUUUGAUUACUCGCAUUAUAUGGAAAUAUUUGAGCUUUCUCCUUCAAUGGUUUUUUCUUUUCUUAUUAAUUUGCUCAAGAACAUAAUAUUGAAUAUUAGGGCAUUUUUACUUCGAUGGGAAGACUAAGAAUUAGAUGCAUUCACAGUAAUACUUUGAAUGUCAUUAGUUUUUGGAAGGGAAAGAGAAAACACAUGAAUCUCGCAACACCUAACGAAGGUAUUUCUAUAUGUGGGAGAAUGCAUUUGGUUAUAUUCUGUAUGUGAUUUCUAUCAGGCACAAGUGUUGUGCUUGUUUCAACUAGUAUAAGAAGAACUAGAAGGAACAUCUUCUUCAACAUAUGAAAACCUAUUAUCAUUCAGUUCAUGACCCUAAGUGCGCUAUCUCUAAUAAAUAUUGCAAAUCCUUUGAGGGAGCAUGUUGCUCUUCAGUUGUUGUGCUUAGAAUAUUAAUGUUCUUUAAGUGUAAAUUCUCUCUCUCUUGUCCUCCCUAACUUUUCUUCUCACUUUAAGAUUUAGGUCCAUUCUCCAAAGUGAAUCAAUGUCGCUUGUACUCAAAUGUGGAUCUAGAGGUUGGAUUCUUCAUGAUCUAAAUUUUAACAUUCGGGGGGUACGGAUAUGGGAGCGAGGAUUCGACUAAAAUAAUUCAAAUAUCUAAAAAGAUAGUUAUAUGUCUAAAUUAUGAGACAUGUGGAAAACUUAGAAAAUGUUAUGAGGAAAAGAUAUUGAUCAAGAGGAGAAUCCUAGAACGUGAUAUAAGGAAAAGGACUGCAUAGAAAUUUCUAUAUACAACGUACUCCAUUUUCUUCGAUUUCAUCUUAGCUUUGUUUUGAUUACAAAAAUUAUUGUAUCUGUCGCGAUAUACACCAUUGAUUUUUGUCCAAGUACUCAAAAUCGAUUGACCAAAUGCGGUACGGAUCUCACACCCACACUGCCAUGUCUACACCGGUGCGGCACCAAAAGCGAAGCGUCCGAGCAGCUUAGAAGUGAAUUGUUCAAGCAUCUAUGUAGAAAGAGGCUGCAUUUUUUGUCUGAAGAUCUGCGCAGCUUGGACUCUCUCAAAGAUCAUAAGGAAAUGUGUCAUCUAGCCACUCGACCCAUUGUGUGUUGAUGAAUUUUCUCUCUGAAUUCAUUCACAGGAAUCAGUUACACGUGGUAUACUCUAGAUGUAUGUUUAGUUGUUGGAAUGAUUAUAUUUAAUUGUUGCAGGACACGGUUGAGACGCUUUAUUCAGAAUCCAAAAUUGACAAAGUUAUGAAAUUGGCACCAUAAGAGGUCAGGAAGCAGUUGCUAUAGAUUGUGAAAUGGUUGGGGGUCAUUCGUCUCAAGACCUUUGCGCAAGGGUAUGCCUAGUUGAUGAAGAUGAGAAGCUUCUUUUCACACUUAUGUUCUACCUCAGAUUCUUGUGACUGAGUAUAGGUAUCUGCUGGCAAAUAAACAUAUCUUUUAUAGUGUUAGCUGGCGCUUUGGCAUUAAACCUUUUCAUACUUCCCCAUCAUUGUGUGCCAGGUAUGAAAUUACUGGUAUAAAAGAGGAAAAUCUACAAGAUGCCAUGCCUCUGGAGGAAGCCUGGGAGAAAAUUCAGCAGAUUCUUCACAAUGGAGGGUCAAUUAUUACAGUAAGAUUGGAUGGUGGAAAAGCAAAAGUACUUGUGGGCGAUUAUUUUGAAAAACACUUGGAUUUCUUAGAGAUGAAUUAUCAUGAUCAUCUUCUGUGGUAAUUUUAUUUUUGUUCCUGUCUUUCUAAUAAAUGAAUUAUUUUCUCGGAACCUUAAAUCAUGCAUUAUGUCCAGAUCAUGGGCUUGUCUAUACGCUGCUAUACAUUAACAUGAAUGGUUAAUUUAUCAAUAAUUCAGCAUUACAUGCUUUUUUAAGAGUACAUAGUUGCCCGGUGGAAUAAUCAAGGUGCACACAAUCUGGCCUGGACAAUACCGUACUAAAAAGAUAAAGAAAAAGAGAGGAGCUAAUUCUCAAAAAAGAUAAAGAGAAAGAGAGUAGCUUAAAACUGACUGUUGUUGUGGGUGGAACAUCAAUGCUUAGGUCAAAGUAGAUUUGUUCUUGAGAUGGACCUAUUAACUCGCUUAAUCAGGUACUGAUGUCAAGAAGCCUAGUAUUUUUCCGAGGCCCUUUCCACAUGUUUUUUAUUUACUCAUCUAGGUGAGGCGUAUAAUGGCCCUCUUUGUUGCACCUAAAAUUUUUUUGUAUGUAAUUUCCAACCCUCAGGUUUUUCUUGACGUUCCUCCAAAUGAAGGUACUUUAAUCUUUCCACUUGCUGGGAUCAUCCAAAUAUUUACUUCGCCCCAAGUACCAUUAUUCCCCAGAAGAUAAAGUUCUGUCUCCUCUACCAGAACUAGUUUUGAACUCCCACAUUGUCAACAAUUUAGAAUCUUUAAACAGAUAAAAAUAAAAUUAGAAUCUUUAGCUAUUUUUAUGCUGAAUUUGGUUAUAUCAUGAAUUCGAUAGACGCAAUUAUGUCCAGCACCAUCUGUUAUAUUCCUUUUGUCCUAAUGUAUUUUCUAAAAAAAUGAUUUUCUUGAGCCGAAGGUCUAUCAGAAACAACCUCUAUACCUCACAAGGGUAGGGGUACUUAUGGAAAUCUACUGGCUAUGUUGUUGUAAUCACUUAGAACUGAUAAACUGCUAUGCGUCAGUAGCGAUGGUAGCUUAUCUUUCACUUUUAUGCGGUGAAAUCUGUAAAAAGAAAUUCAAGAAAUUUGGAUCUAGUAAAACAUGAGUAUAUUUGUUAAAAUUCAAGGGCGUUACCUAGUAAACACAUUACCUAAUAUUUGUUCAUUUAAGUCCUCCCAUGAUGCCUUCAUUUCCUUCCAUCCGUGGGAGAAUAUAUGGUCGUUAUGGGAACUUGAUUAGCGAGCUUGUGUUGACUUCUCGUGUUCUCUGUUUUGAGAAAUUUGAACCUAAGAGAUGAAAAUAAAAUUAAGAAUUGCCGUAUCAAUUUGUUCAUGUUCUCUGAUUUUGUCUGUCAAGUAGGGUAUAUGGAAAAGUUAUAUGAGUAUGCCUUGGAGAUCUUUUUGGCAUGAGAUGCAUUUCCUUAUCCUUGGCCUGAAAUACUCAUGUCUUGCUUUCGUUCUAUGCAGAGAUGUUGCAACAUACCACCCUCCCGAUGAAUACUAAUUUCGUCAGCCACUUUUUGAAUAUCUAACCAAGUCUUAUCUAGGGCAAGUUACUUGCUCACUCUCAUGUUUUUUUCUUAGUUUUAUUUUUCUUCGUUUUUUUGUUGGUGUUCAUUGACAUUGAGAAGACGUACGACAAAAUUUCGAGUGGUACUUUGGAGAUGCAUGGAGGCUAGAGGUGUACCGAUCGAUUAUGUUAGGGCGAUAAAGGAUAUGUAUGAUGGAGCUAAAACGUGGGCUAGGAUGGUAGGAGGAGACUUGGAGCAUUUCCCUAUGGGAGUGGGGUUGCACCAAGGAUCAACUCUUAGUCUGUUCCUCUUUGCCGUGGUGAUGGAUGUAUUGGCACAAUGCAUCUAAGAUGAAGUGUCUUAGUGUAUGUUAUAUGUAGGUGACAUAGUAUUGAUUGAUGAGACGCAUAAUGGAGUGAAUGAUAGGUUGGAGGUGGAGACAAACUGGAAGCUAAAAGGGUUUAAGUUGAGCAAGACCAAAACGGAGUAUCUGUAGUGCAAAUUCAGUGAAGGGUUGCAUGAGGAAGGUGUAGUAGUGCAUCUGGACACAGUUGAUGUUUUCUUUGUCCUUUGCAGUGGUAUUAACCUCAUUUGAGGUUCAUCUUGGGAAAAGGAAGAAAGAGGAAAUCUAUAACUUAUUUUAUUUGAGAUUUUGAGAAGAGAUUGGAGUUGUGUUUACCUCGUUCAUGCUACAUUGUUGUGUUGGUAGAGAGCUGAAGAAGUCUUCUAUGGGUUUGAUUUCAUGACAUUUGUGAGAUUUAAAGCGUCUUGGUGAAAUACCCUCAAGCUCCUUGUUAUACAUAAGUCGGUAGCCCACUUAUGGAGAUUCGGUGCUGGUUUCUUCUCUACGAUGCUCAUCAAAAUCACCAAUAGCUUGGUCGAGUUAAUGAAAGAAGAUGACGGUUGAGGAUUGAGUUGCCUAGAGAUUCUUGAACUUUCUAGAGCAUUCUACUUUUUUCUUUUGUCUUUGAUUUUAGGAUAGAUUUUUGUUUCCUUUUUCACACUUUUGUAUGGUUUUUGUUUGAGACUUAGGUCAAUUGGACCUGGGUCAUAGCUUGUGGAUUCUUUUAUUUUGAAUAAAAUGGGCAUGACCUGAUUUAAUUUUUUUAAAAAGAGAUGGUGAUGUCACUCAUCGUAUUAGUGCGACGUGGAUGAAGUGGAGGCUUUUCUCUGGAGUCUUGUGUGAUAAAAAGAUUCCAUCGAAACUUAAAGUUAAGUCUUAUAGAGUGGUGGUUAGACCUAUGUCGCUAUAUGGUACAGAGUGUUGGCCAGUCAAAAACUCCUAUGUUCAGAAGAUGUAUGUCGAAGAGAUGAUGAUGUUGAGAUGGAUAUUUGGACAUACUAGGUGUGAUAAACUCAAGAAUGAGGUUAUUCGAGAUAAGGUGAGAGUGACGUCUGGGUUGGACAAGAUGAGGGAAGUGAAAUUGAGAUGGUUUGAACAUGUGAUGAGGCGAGGUGCAGACGCCCAGUGAGGAGGUGCGAGAGGUUGGAUAUAGUAGGUACGAAGAGGGGUAGAGGUAGGCCGAAGAAGUAUUGGGGUGAGGUGAUUAGAUAAUACAUGACACAUAUGGAGGUUUCCGAGGACAUAACCUUAGAUAGAGGGAUGUGGAGAACGCGAAUUAGAGUAGAAGGUUAGUCGGGUAGGAGUAUUGUCGUGUACCGUAGUAUGGUAGCUUAGGGUUUAGCCGUAGAUAUCUAUCAUUGUUGUUGUUUAUUUUGUUUCAAUUAUAGCACUAUUUUGUGGCUGAUUAUGGUUUUUCAGGUAAAUUUUAUACUGUUCCCUUGUGAGUUGUCAUAUUUUCCUUACUAUUUUCCUUUUUUUGUACUUGGAUUUGCUACACUUGAGCCAAGGGUUUUCUGGAAACGACCUCUCUACCUCUUUGAGGUAGUGGUGAGGUUUGCAUACACUUUACCCUCCCUAGACCCCACUUGUGGGAUUUUACUGGUGUUGUUGUAUUUUUGUUGGUCAAGUUUAUUCAUUAUAUUCCUAUUGUUCGUUUUACUUUGGUAGUCCCUUGCUAGUGAUGAAAAUAUUCUGUCACUGUUGGUUUCUUGUUAACAUGGAGCUUGAAUGAGGCAGUUCUGUGCAGAUGUGUUGGCUUAAUAGUUAUUUGCUUCAGCUGUGCUUAGUAUUGGUUUUCCACUUCUAGACUAGCUAAUUGAAAUUUUUGCCAAAUAGAUGUGAUAUCCAAGUUGGUUUCAUGAUCCUUACCAUGAUUUUGUCUCCGUCAUGCGGUUGUAUAAGAGGAUCCACUCACAAGACCACCCAAUAGAAGGAAGGGACUAUUAGGGUUUCAAAUCACCUCUAAGCUUUAGCAGUAGCUCUGAUCCAUGGAAAUCCAUGGCACAUGAGAGCAUGACGCCUGAUGAGCUCUUAGAGAUAUCAAGAUCCAAAUAUGAGUGUUGGUGUUUUGAUUCACGGGAUGCAGUUCUGAGGUGAGUGAUGGUGAUGCUCUUGGCCGAGGAAUUUAGGAAACUUGGUUAUCUACACAUUUUAUUUCUACUUGUUAAGAUAUAGUCCUUUUUGUUAUGAACUGCCAUUUUUGUCAUGUAGUACUUUUCUCUUAUUAAGCGUAUUCCUGUGCCUUACUAUCAUAUUCGUCUCCAUUGUAUGUUACAUCGAAAAUGAUUAUUGCAUAUAUUAUAUAGCAAUAAUCUAGUGAUAUUUGACUAAAAGCCUAUAAUUCUAUUGCAUCAUAUCUUAACUAUUUUGUGAGGUUUAUAUCGUUAUAUUGGGUGUUUUGAGCUCAUCACGUAUUGUCUAUCAGUAGGAAGAUCGUUGGAUGAAAGCGGAUUGAAAGGAGCUAACUUGGUAUGAGGAAGAAACUAAAGAUAUGAGAAUUGCCUCGCUUGCCACGCGAGGCUUCUAGGCAAUCUAAGGGAUCUGUUCAAAAAUAAAAAUAAAAGGCAUAAUACAUAAAUGUGCCCUUCAACUUGGCUGUAGCUACAUCUAUGCUCUCUAGCUUUGGUUGUGCACAAGUAGACUCUUAAUCUUGUAUAAAGUUGAAAGCAUAAUGAGUCCUACGUGGACUAAUACAAAUCAAUUCGAGUGUAUCUCACGUGACUUGUCAUGUAGAACUCAUGUGUCUACGUGUUCAACUUUGUAUAAGUUUUGCCUACUUGUGCACAUCAAAAGUUGGAGGGCAUAGACGGCAACUAAGGAUGUGCAAACACUAAAGCGAGCAUUACAUCAAACCAAUAAAAAUGUUACUGGGUUAAUAAUUUUUAUAAUGGUUUUAUAAAUUUUUUUAUUGGGUUAUUGGUUCGAUUUCAAUUUUUUCUUAUAGGUUUAUUGGGGUAACCGAUAACCCAAUAGACUAUACUACAUUACCCCUACUUAUAUUAUACUUAUAUGUAUAUAUAUAUUUACUUAUUAUAUAUUUCUCUUUAAUUUCUUCAAACUAACAAACCUAUUAAAUUUUCUAAACUAACAUUCAGUUCAACCUUAAUGAUUCUUGUAAAUUAGAACACAUCAUGUAGGAUUUUGGCUGCAACUAAGAUUCAGUUUCUUUUCAUGUUAGUUGUUACUAUUUCUAUCUUAUGAGUAUUUUCUUAUCAAUUAAACCGAAUCGUUAAAGACUAAAAAUCAAUAACAACAACAACAAACCCAGUGUAUUCCCACAUAGUGAGGUCUGGGUAGGGUAAGAUGUACGCAGUCCAUACCUCUACCUCUAAAGAAGUAGAAAGGCUGUUUCCGAUAGACCCCCGGCUCGAGACACGGAAUAGUACACAAAUUCAUAGUAAAGCAUGGAACAAGAUGGCAUAACAUAAAAAGACAAAAUCAAUAAACCGAAAAUCGGUAAAAACUAUCUUAUUGAUUUGGUUAUUGAUUUAGCAAAUUUUAAAACUAAAAAUCGAUAAACCGAAUUGAUAAUAUAUAACAUCAAAUCGAAUCAACCGAUGCACACCACUAAUGACAGUUGAGGCUAAGUUAAAGGACAUGUCGAUGCACACCACUAAUAACAGUUGAGGCUAAGUUAAAGGACAUGUUUAUUAUGCCAUAAAAAUAGUGAAGUAACAAGGAGAGACCAUCAGACGCAACUUGGGGUUUUGGCGAGUAGGAGCUCUUCUGUUCUCCUCGACCCUCACGCCGCAUGAGCAGCUUGGGAUUUUGGCUAGGAGGAGCUUGCAAGUCCUCCUCGGUGUCAGAUAGUUUUUUCAUUACAAGUUUGGUUUCGCUCAUGAAGCCUCCUACACACUUUAGAUCCAAUUAAAACCCCUAAAAUUAUAUUUUGAACGGGACAAACUACUUUUGGAGUCAAGAAGACACGAGGAGCUACUAACGGAAUUCAGCGAUGAGUUUCACCUUCUUCCUUUAUUUCUUGUUGAUUAUGAAUUGUAGUUUUGUGUUUUGAGCAUUAUUAUGAGUAGCUAAAUUUCUUCUCUAGGAUUUUGAUGGAGCAUGAGGAUGAUGUGGAAGUGAAUCUUGAUGCACUGGCCAUCCAAAAGAAAGGUAGUUUCAAGCUAAGUUGCUCGGAUUCGGGUGCGGGUGUCCAAUAUGGGUACGGAUCUAGAGGUCGGAUCCUUCACUGUCUCAAUUUAAAGAUUCGGGGUAUGGAUCUAGGGAUGGAUACGGGUGCGGGGAUUCGGCGAAAAAUAAUUUAAAUAUCUAAAAAUAGAGUUAUAAAACAUAAAUUUUAAGAAAUUAUGUGGAAAACUUAAGAAGAAAAUAUUUUUCAAGAAGAAAAUCCUGAAAGGAGAUAAAAAGGAAAGCAAUAACAUAGAAAUUUCUAUAUACAAGGUAUUUCAUUUUCUUCAAUUUCACCUUAACUUUUAUUUUGAUUAUAGAAUUUCUUAAAUUGUCUGGACUUUCCCAGUCAAUUUUGGUCAAAGUAUCCAAAAUCGGUUGACCAUUUCGGGUACGGAUCCCAUGCUCACACCCAUGUCGUGUCGACACGGGUGCAGCACCGAAAGUGAAGAGUCCGAGUAACUUAGGUUUCAAGAAUCUUGGCUUUAUUACCCAGGUAAAUGGAGAGAUUAAUGAGGAUAUCACUCAUCGUAUAAGUAUAUGAUGGAUGAAAUGGAGGCUCGCAUCUGGAGUGUUGUGUAAUAAGGUCGCUUAAACUUAAAGAAAAGUUCUAUAGAGUGGUAGUUAGACCGACUAUGGUAUGUAGGACGGAGUCACAUUCAAAAGAUGAGAGUUACAAAGAUGAGGAUAUUGCGAUGAUGUGUGGGUAUACUAGGAGAGAGGAUUAAAAUGAGGAUAUCUGAGAUACGGUAGGAGUGACUUCAAUGGAAGACAAGAUGCGGGAAGCGAGGUUGAGAUGAUUUGGGCGUGAGGUGUGAAAGGUUGGCUAUGGAUGGAUUUAGAAGAGGUAGAGGUAGGCUGAAGAAGUAUUGGGGAGAGGUGAUUAGACAGGAUAUGACGCAGUUGCAGCUUACCGAGGUCAUACCGAGGCAUGACCUUAGAUAGAAAGGUGUGAAGGUGAUACAAGACAACAAUGUGAAACACGAAAUUGGCUCAAAACAGUCCAAACAUACACCAAAAAAAUAGUCCACAAGUUCAAGAGAACCAAGGACCAAGAUGGUGACCACUCUCGGAUUCAAGAACAACAACAAGAACACGAUAUAACAAGGUGUUUAACACCCAUUUCAGCCAACAAUCCCAAACUAUAUUACAACAAUAAAAUGAAGAACAACAAUGUUACAACAACUAGACCCCCAUGGGUUCAACAACAAGACAAGGAAAACCGAAACGUAAACAAGAUACAAGAUAUAUAGUUAGACAAGUGAUGGUGUAAUCUUAAGAACCCAAGAGCAUAUUCCACUCUUGGACCCUUAACACUACACACACCAAACACCUAACUCCUACGUUGACACAAGAGGGACUUUACCUCCUCUAAACACCAACAUCUCAAGCCAAAACGCAACGCAAGUGUCUCCACACUUGGAAGUCCUAGUUACGUGUGGGGGUGGCUUUUCCAAGCCCUACUCAAAAGUGAUACACUCUCAAGAGAGAGACUUAGGUGUUACAAAUAUUUCAUGUCUUGACAAUAAUCAACCAAAUGUAAAAUGAACCCUAAAGAACUACUUAUAGCGAUUGCAAAAUGAGGACAAAAUGACCUCCCUACCCUUAAUGAGGAGAGCCUAUGGAGUGUGUUUUGGGCACAAUGAAAUGACCAAAAUACCCUUAAUGAAGCUGCCCCAAAAUGAAGUGAGUCAUUAAGGGUCCAAACCCGAGAGUCCUCAAGUCUUCAAGGCUCCAACCAACCUUCCACACUCGGGUUUGUUUAAUGACAUGCUCAAAAUGAGGCUUCCUUGUGCUCUCGGGGUGACCAAGUCUUGAGUCUUUAGGUGUUGGCCUCCAAAGAUGUCAUCUAAAGCGAAGGCGACAAUUUUGACUUGUAUCAUCCUCCCCUCCUUGAAAAGGAUUCGACCUCGAAUCCAUACCUUGCAAAACAAGAGAAAGGACAAACAAGCACAACUUCCUCAUGGCAUGAGGGUUAGAGUUAGCACAAUAAUAAACAUCAUCAUGCCAAGGCAGAACACACAAAAAGUGGUACAAAACAGUCCGCAAACAAGAAUAUAACUUGGCACCCACAAGUUGCAGUUCACAUAACUUUAAGUGUGUCAAACAUGGAUGCACGUAUAUGAGCAACACUCCAAAGAGGCAAUGACACAUUUGCCCUAGGGGUUCUCUAGUAAACACAAACCACCAUUAACAUCAAAGGGAUCACAAUUCAAGUCAUCAUAAAUAUCAAGUAAGUCAUCCCCAUAGUUAUCAAGCAAGGGUGGUGUGUUAUGCAAAGGAUCAUAAUUGACAUCAUUUUUCAAGGAAUAGCCACAAUUCGGGUUUCCCAAGCAAACAAGCAAGUCAAGGUCAUCUUCACCCGAUUGGCUAUUCCUUUCCAAGACUACACAUUCCCUGCCCUUAAGAGUACUCUCAUCUUCCAAGAAGAGAUUUCCAUCUUGAGGAGGAAUGUUGUCACACCAUAGUGGAUUAGCAUAUAGGAUAUAGCUUUCAAGACAAGCUAAUACUAUCAAUAUAACCACUAGGUUCAUUAGGAGUGAUCGUACUAUCUUCAAACAAGAUAUUAUGCCUAAAGAGAGUGGGAUCUAUCCCGCGGACAGAUUCGGAACCUUCACUCUCUAAGGGAUCAUUUUCAAGUUUCAAAGUGGUUUCAAACGCAUGAUUAUCCCUAUGAGUCAAGCAAACAUCAUAAUAUUUAUCAAAGAACAAACUCACGGGUUCACUCCUAGCAGUGUCAAGAGUAUCACUUCGGGAAAGCUCAUGCAACUCCUUCGGCAAACUACCAACUACAUCCACUUGGCUACUACUAGCCACAUCAUAACAUUUUAAGUUUGUAAGAGUGUAGGAGAUAGCUUCGUUACCUUGUAGCUCAUUUGAGCUACGACCUUCAUCUUGACGUGGGUCCGGGCAGUCCACUCGCUCCCUUGGAACUCCCAUAUGAUCCAACCUUUCAUUUAUCACUUUCCAUUGACGGGCCAUGGCUUCAAGUUUAGCCAAAAUAGCAAUUGUAGUGUCAUUGCCCAAGGUUUGAGAGGUUGAAGCCAUGGGUACCUAAAAACAAAACAAACUCACAAAGCAAAACAAUUAGUUCACAAGAUCCUCACCACACUCUCUCACACUUUGAUCGUCUCACACUCGGUUUCACAAGUGUUGCAAGUCGGCUUGUAGUUCGUGAUGAGUCGAGGGGUGAGUCUACUCCUUGGUCGGAAUGGAUUCUUUGCUUAAAGACUCAAGAAAGUAAUGUACGAACUUGAACCAAGAAAUACUACAAUUUAAAAACAAUAAAAGCACAAAAAUAACGCUAACACGAAGAAACGUAUUCAAAAACUAAUUUACAACUUAGUAGGUGUUUACUAGUUGUCAAUUAGUACAAGAAUCAACAACAAGAAACUAAGAAUCCAAAUUUGAGCCUAAAAGUUGUCGUGUGAACAGUAAAUGUGAUGUGGCAGUCACGUAAUGGGUGCGGUCUUAACAAUUUUUUUUUCCCAAAUUGGAAGUCUUGAUCAAUUUGUAAGUUGGAAAUGGUGGGAAUUGGUUUGGAGGGAAAUAUAAGUCUUGACAUCCCUUUUUAAAUUCAAAGAUUGAAUAUUUGACUUUCUUGCACUUUCUCCCUCAAGACAAGGUCCUUAAAACAAGGGAAGCGGUUGAGAUGUGAUUGACAAGUUCUUCAGUGAUUGCAAGUCUUUCAAGACAAACAAGGCUUCAACUCUUUUUCCUCACCUUUAUAGAUCUAGCAUUCACUUUAUUUUAACAAGACAUGAAGGUGUGAAGAACACAAGAAUAACAUCAACAACCACACGGCCUAACCAACUCCACAACAACAACAAGACCACCAUAAUCGGCCAAGGUCACAACAACUUCAUCACACGGCAAUGUUCACAUCAACAACAUUAGCAACAUAAGCUCAAGUUUAGAUAUAGACUCAAAAGUGUUAGUGAAGAACAAUACUAAUACUAGAAACAACUAAACAAGUAAAAGACACCUAGACCUAGACUCCACAAUCUCGGCCAAGACAAGAACAACAAGUUCUAGGCCAAGAACGGGCAGAUUACUCCUUUUCUGGAAUUUUUCAGCUUUCAACUCUUUUUUUCUUUUUGAUUUUUUUCAACUCUCAAGCCUAAGAUUGAUCUUGUUAGAACAAAAUCAAAGAUGGCUCUGAUACCAAAUGAUACAAGACAACAAUGGGAGACACGAAAUUGGCUCAAAACAGUCCAAACAUACACCGAAAAAACAGUCCACAAGUUCGAGAGAACCAAGGACCAAGAUGGUGACCACUCUCGGAUUCAAGAACAACAACAAGAACACGAUAUAACAAGGUGUUUAACACCUAUUUCAGCCAACAAUCCCAAACUAUAUUACAACAAUAAAAUGAAGAACAACAAUGUUACAACAAGAAGACCCCCACGGGUUCAACAACAAGACAAGGAAAACCAAAACUAAAACAAGAUACAAGAU